RNAcentral lists this long non-coding RNA (437 nucleotides) under Gossypium barbadense (sea-island cotton). RNAcentral describes it as "long non-coding RNA (GBAR_LNC006183)". The record is from RNAcentral. Lineage: Eukaryota; Viridiplantae; Streptophyta; Magnoliopsida; Malvales; Malvaceae.
GCAUCUUCUUUAAUUCUCCUUUUUAUUUGCAUGUAUUAUGGAUUCUGAUUCCCUUGGAUUGAGAUUGACGUGUGGUUGUUGUCCCUCUUUUACACCCGCUCGGUUCUCUUCAUUCUUGCUGUUUUGACUUUUUUUGCCAUACUAACAAACCGUGGUCGUUCUCCUAGUAGUCGGCAGUGACUUUGGCUAUAGAACCAGAAGCUUCACUACUAGUUCUAGCACAAAUACUCUUAGGCUCCGAACAUCUUAAUUUUGCCAACAUAAGAAGUAUAUGAAUUAGGCUCCACCAAUUGGAAAUGUUAAAAGUAAAUUUGGAUUCUUCUUAUAAAACAGAUUUGAAAAUCUGAUGUGCAAAUAUCAUGAUUCGAAAUUAGAAGAGAGUUGUAAUGCUAAGUGUUAUUGCUUGACUUAUUAAUAAAGAUGCCAAAUAUGACAGA